Pan troglodytes (chimpanzee) is the source of this 1734-nucleotide long non-coding RNA. RefSeq lists it as uncharacterized. Lineage: Eukaryota; Metazoa; Chordata; Mammalia; Primates; Hominidae. The transcript has 8 exons. The record is from RefSeq and is a predicted model, not a curated record.
CAGGCAGAUAGAAGUUCCUGUCACUUUCUCCUUUUUUAUGGAGUGGAAUGUGAUACUCCUUCUAGUGGAAAUACCAGUCAAAUGUCCAUGGGUCUUGAAGUGUCACUACAUACUCCUGAGCCUCUCUCCAGAAGGGAAAAGGGAACUCCUCUAUGGAUAGUGCAGCAGGAUGCAGCGGAACCCCCCGACUUGCCGACAAGCGCAGACCAGUCUAGAAGUGGCCCUGUACAUGUUUCUGCAGAACCCUGACACUGAAGCUGUUCUGGUUGCCAUGUCCUGUUUCUGCCACCUCUGUGAGGAAGCAGAUACCCAGUGUGGGGUGGAUGAAGUGUCAGUGCAUAACCUCUUGCCCAACUCUAACACAUUCAUGGAGUUUGCCUGUCAGCAAUGUGAUGUCAACAGGCUUGGGAAGAUACACAUGCAAAAUGGGAACAAGCAACAAAACUAAUCCUUAGCUAUCCAAAAGCCCAAGUGGAAGAUGGCCAGGCUGUUGAAAGCUUCACAAGACCAUUGUUAAGAGGCGAAUGUCCCAUGUGAGUGGAGGAGGACCCAUAGAUUUGUCUGACACAGACUCCCUACAGGCAUGGAUCAACAUGACUGGCUUCCUUUGUGCCCUUGGGGGAGUGUGCCUCCAGCAGAGAAGUAAUUCUGGCCUGGCAACCUCUAGCCCACCCGUGGGUCCGGUCAGUGAACAUAAGGGUUCCAUGAUUUCAGUGAUGUCCUCAGAGGGAAACGCAGAUACACCUGUCAGCAAAUAUAUGGAUCAGCUGUUGUCGUUAAUGGUGUGUAACCUUGAGAAAGUGGGACUUCAAACACCGACCAAUGAUAAGGACCUAGUGGGUCUAGAAUUGAGUCCUGCUCUUUAUCUGAUGCUAUUUAACAAAUUGAAGAAGACCCAUCACCAAGUUUUUUGACUCCUAAGGACAGGUUUUAUUGACUGAUACCAAUACUCAAUUUGUAGAGCAAACCCUAGAUAUAAUGAAGAACUUGCUAGAUAAUCAUACUGAAGGCAGCUGUGAACAUCUAGAGCAAGCUAGCAUUGAAACAAUGAUGUUAAAUCUGGUCAGGUACGUUUGUGUGCUUGGGAAUAUGGUCCAUGCAAUUCAAAUAAAAACGAAACUGUGUCAGUUGGUUGAAGUAACGAUGGCAAGGAGAGAUGACCUCUCAUUUUGCCGAGAGAUGACCUCUCAUUUUGCCAAGAGAUGAAAUUUAGGAAUAAGAUGGUAGAAUACCUGACAUACUGGGUUAUGGGAACAUCAAACCAAGCAGCAGAUGAUGAUGUAAAAUGUCUUACAAGGCAUCAGGUACAUGAAAAAGAAGAGAUCAAGGCUUUGAAAACGUUAAGUAUUUUCUACCAAGCUGGGGCUUCCAAAGCUGGGAAUCCUAUUUUUUAUUAUGCUGCAUGGGGUGAGAAAUACUAUGUUUGGUGUCUCCUCUCAACAGAAUUUUUUCAAUGAUAGCAAUUAUAGAGAUGGCAAGUUUGGUUUUUCAUAUUUGACUUAACAAGAAUUGAAGACAAGUUUACCUGGGAGCAUACAGUGGGUUUAAAUAGCCUGCCUUUCCUAAAAUGAUGGUCAGUAUCUAGUAACUGCUUUUCAGACUACCCAUUUCAUAUUGGUUUCCCUGUCCUACAUCAUUUUUUAAAAUACUGCCUACAAUGGAUUAAUUACCAAGAGUUAAAAAACCACAAAGCAUCUUUUGUUUUCAAGUAUAUUCUGAUUAAAUAGUACAACA